GCCAUCAGAUGUGCCCAGAUGGGAUUAGCUAGUAGGUGGGGUAACGGCUCACCUAGGCGACGAUCCCUAGCUGGUCUGAGAGGAUGACCAGCCACACUGGAACUGAGACACGGUCCAGACUCCUACGGGAGGCAGCAGUGGGGAAUAUUGCACAAUGGGCGCAAGCCUGAUGCAGCCAUGCCGCGUGUGUGAAGAAGGCCUUCGGGUUGUAAAGCACUUUCAGCGGGGAGGAAGGCGAUAAGGUUAAUAACCUUGUCGAUUGACGUUACCCGCAGAAGAAGCACCGGCUAACUCCGUGCCAGCAGCCGCGGUAAUACGGAGGGUGCAAGCGUUAAUCGGAAUUACUGGGCGUAAAGCGCACGCAGGCGGUCUGUCAAGUCGGAUGUGAAAUCCCCGGGCUCAACCUGGGAACUGCAUUCGAAACUGGCAGGCUAGAGUCUUGUAGAGGGGGGUAGAAUUCCAGGUGUAGCGGUGAAAUGCGUAGAGAUCUGGAGGAAUACCGGUGGCGAAGGCGGCCCCCUGGACAAAGACUGACGCUCAGGUGCGAAAGCGUGGGGAGCAAACAGGAUUAGAUACCCUGGUAGUCCACGCCGUAAACGAUGUCGAUUUGGAGGUUGUGCCCUUGAGGCGUGGCUUCCGGAGCUAACGCGUUAAAUCGACCGCCUGGGGAGUACGGCCGCAAGGUUAAAACUCAAAUGAAUUGACGGGGGCCCGCACAAGCGGUGGAGCAUGUGGUUUAAUUCGAUGCAACGCGAAGAACCUUACCUGGUCUUGACAUCCACAGAACUUUCCAGAGAUGGAUUGGUGCCUUCGGGAACUGUGAGACAGGUGCUGCAUGGCUGUCGUCAGCUCGUGUUGUGAAAUGUUGGGUUAAGUCCCGCAACGAGCGCAACCCUUAUCCUUUGUUGCCAGCGGUUCGGCCGGGAACUCAAAGGAGACUGCCAGUGAUAAACUGGAGGAAGGUGGGGAUGACGUCAAGUCAUCAUGGCCCUUACGACCAGGGCUACACACGUGCUACAAUGGCAUAUACAAAGAGAAGCGACCUCGCGAGAGCAAGCGGACCUCAUAAAGUAUGUCGUAGUCCGGAUUGGAGUCUGCAACUCGACUCCAUGAAGUCGGAAUCGCUAGUAAUCGUAGAUCAGAAUGCUACGGUGAAUACGUUCCCGGGCCUUGUACACACCGCCCGUCACACCAUGGGAGUGGGUUGCAAAAGAAGUAGGUAGCUUAACCUUCGGGAGGGCGCUUACCACUUUGUGAUUCAUGACUGGGGUGAAGUCGUAACAAGGUAACCGUAGGGGAACCUGCGGUUGGAUCACCU
RNAcentral lists this ribosomal RNA (1318 nucleotides) under Klebsiella pneumoniae. RNAcentral describes it as "bacterial SSU rRNA". It matches the Rfam family "Bacterial small subunit ribosomal RNA", at positions 217 to 1528 of the family's 1533-position model. Lineage: Bacteria; Pseudomonadati; Pseudomonadota; Gammaproteobacteria; Enterobacterales; Enterobacteriaceae. The record is from RNAcentral.